AACAAGUUAGAAACAAAGGAAUGAAUUGAAGCUAGGAACUUGGGAGUUAGCCCAAAAAUAGCUUGGAGAAUUUGUUCUGCAGUGUAGGUGUACACUUGGGC
Long non-coding RNA from Humulus lupulus (European hop), 101 nucleotides. RefSeq lists it as uncharacterized. The record is from RefSeq and is a predicted model, not a curated record. NCBI's taxonomy places the organism in Eukaryota, Viridiplantae, Streptophyta, Magnoliopsida, Rosales, Cannabaceae. The transcript has 3 exons.